RNAcentral lists this ribosomal RNA (844 nucleotides) under Pediococcus pentosaceus. Its description in RNAcentral is "bacterial SSU rRNA". It matches the Rfam family "Bacterial small subunit ribosomal RNA", at positions 350 to 1187 of the family's 1533-position model. The record is from RNAcentral. Lineage: Bacteria; Bacillati; Bacillota; Bacilli; Lactobacillales; Lactobacillaceae.
AGCAGUAGGGAUCUUCCACAAUGGACGCAAGUCUGAUGGAGCAACGCCGCGUGAGUGAAGAAGGGUUUCGGCUCGUAAAGCUCUGUUGUUAAAGAAGAACGUGGGUAAGAGUAACUGUUUACCCAGUGACGGUAUUUAACCAGAAAGCCACGGCUAACUACGUGCCAGCAGCCGCGGUAAUACGUAGGUGGCAAGCGUUAUCCGGAUUUAUUGGGCGUAAAGCGAGCGCAGGCGGUCUUUUAAGUCUAAUGUGAAAGCCUUCGGCUCAACCGAAGAAGUGCAUUGGAAACUGGGAGACUUGAGUGCAGAAGAGGACAGUGGAACUCCAUGUGUAGCGGUGAAAUGCGUAGAUAUAUGGAAGAACACCAGUGGCGAAGGCGGCUGUCUGGUCUGCAACUGACGCUGAGGCUCGAAAGCAUGGGUAGCGAACAGGAUUAGAUACCCUGGUAGUCCAUGCCGUAAACGAUGAUUACUAAGUGUUGGAGGGUUUCCGCCCUUCAGUGCUGCAGCUAACGCAUUAAGUAAUCCGCCUGGGGAGUACGACCGCAAGGUUGAAACUCAAAAGAAUUGACGGGGGCCCGCACAAGCGGUGGAGCAUGUGGUUUAAUUCGAAGCUACGCGAAGAACCUUACCAGGUCUUGACAUCUUCUGACAGUCUAAGAGAUUAGAGGUUCCCUUCGGGGACAGAAUGACAGGUGGUGCAUGGUUGUCGUCAGCUCGUGUCGUGAGAUGUUGGGUUAAGUCCCGCAACGAGCGCAACCCUUUAUUACUAGUUGCCAGCAUUAAGUUGCGGCACUCUAGUGAGACUGCCGGUGACAAACCGGAAGGAGGUGGGACGACUUCA